This is a long non-coding RNA of Amphiprion ocellaris (clown anemonefish), 1676 nucleotides long. Lineage: Eukaryota; Metazoa; Chordata; Actinopteri; Pomacentridae. The record is from Ensembl.
AAGCCAUGGAGCUGGUUUGGGAUGAACUGGACAGAAGACUGAAAGCAAAGCAACCUACAAGUGCCACACAUUUAUGGGAACUUCUGCAACAGAGUUGGGAAGAACUUUCUGAAGAAUAUUUGAUUUCCAUUGUGGAAAGAAUGCCACGAGUGUGUUCAGCUGUUAUAUCUGUCAAAGGUGCUCACCUCAUUGACCCAAACCCAGCGUAUGUCUGAAGCCUUGAUGCUGAGGGGAAACUGCUGAGGUUAACUCCCUGCUGUCAGUCACCGUUGCCUAUAGCAACAGUACAGGACAGCAGGGAAGUGCCUGCGAUCUUCUGAGUAGUGACGGCAGCACGACGGUCAACUGACCAUCCAAUGACGUCUUCACCUAAAGCCUGAAGGACAGGCGGGCGACGGCUGAUGAUCUGCUGCUGACACACUUCUUUAUUUUGUGUGUUUUUGUGUCUGUGCUGCUUUUUAGGUUUGUUUGCAUCUUUUAUGAACCAUUUGCUUCGAGCAUAACUUUGAAAUAUACAGUCUCAUUGAUGCAUUUUUAUGGCUCUCAACUUUAGGGAAGAUAACAUGCUCCCUAAGGUUCUGCCUUUGAAAGCCUCUGUAAGCUUGAAUAUAGCAGAGUUUUUAAAGGCUGCAGGAGAGUGAUAAGGCUCUGGGAUUUGAUGCAUUUACAUGGAGUAAAAGCUCUGGCUUAUACUUGGUGUUUUUAUUGCUAUGGCAUGAGCCUCAGGGGCUUUACAGCCUUAAUUUCAUGUAAUGAACUAGACGGGGAUUAUGGAAUUACCCAAAUUAAUAGUGUUUAUCGGCGAAUGCUCUCACUUUAAUUGAUGCAUAUGGUCUUUAUUGAGACAUUAGGCCAGAGGUUUUGAUGCGCUACCUUAUUUGUUUUCCCUCUUUUAUAUUCUGUGUUUGAUUCAGUGCUGCUGAGCAUAGCAACCGUCUUUACACAACUGUUGAAUAUUCAUGUGGGUCAUUAAGUGGAGUGCCUCAUACAAAUGAAGGUGGGGACUGGAGGACAGAUAUUUCUUAAAAGCAUGCCUCUGACCCUUUAAAUUUCCCUCGCCAUCCCCGCUCUAAACUCCACAUUUAGAUUGGAAAAUGUACAUUUGUGAACUUACAACACAGAUGUGUCCUGUGCAAGGACGUCAUUUUAAUUCUCUUGGUGCAUAGCUGCAUGUCACGAGUGGAUGGGUGCCCAUCCACGCCGUGUUAAUGCCUGCACAUUGCACUGUUGCCUGCUGAACAAUUGUUGCAGAAUGAUUAGAAGCAAAUUUUACGAGGUUAUCCUCCAGACCACCUUCUGAUUCUCUCCCUGACAGACCUGCUUGUGUAAGUAAGACAGAUAUCCUAAUUAGAAAAAGUGCACAGGACUGUUUCUUUUGGCGUAUGCCUGAAAAUGCCAUUAGAGCAUAAUUUGAUCAAAGCAAAGCAGCUGCUAUGACUUUGUGCGGAUCUCACAGCAAGGUUAAGAUGCUGCAUAUAGGUCUAUCUAUCACUGCCUCCUUGUCUUGGACAGUGUUCAGAGGUUUCACCUGAUCCUUGAGCGGUGUGCGCUCCCCCUCCACUAGGUGGCACUGUAGCCGUAUGUGGAGUAGGUCAAUGGAGCAAUACUGUACUCCUACUGUGUUUUGUCAUGACUGGAAAGAAAGACAAAUAAAACGGAGACAGGUGUUUGGGUUG